UGGUGGCGAUAGCGAAGAGGUCACACCCGUUCCCAUGCCGAACACGGAAGUUAAGCUCUUCAGCGCCGAUGGUAGUCGGGGGUUUCCCCCUGUGAGAGUAGGACGCCGCCAA
Molecule: ribosomal RNA, 112 nt
Filed under: Bacillus vallismortis
Lineage: Bacteria; Bacillati; Bacillota; Bacilli; Caryophanales; Bacillaceae
Also listed under: 3 other names
Source: RNAcentral